AAAAAAAAAAAGAAAAGAAAAAAAAGAGAGAGAGAAACAAACGGAAAAAAAGGAAAGCUCAACAUUUUUUAACCCCGUCUAUGUUUUUGUUUGUUUUUUAGCCUCCCAUUUGAAACGUGGUAAUACUGUGAUUCCAUUUCUUGUUUAGCUGGUGAGGGAAGAGGGUGGGCAAGUUUAUGUAACUUUUUCUGUUGUUUUGUUUUUAUUUCCUUUUCCUUUUUUUUUCCCCCCCUAUUUUAAUGUACAGAAAUGCAAACUCUCUCUCUGGGUUUUUUUUUUCUAUCUUCUAUGUUCUAGAAUUUUCUUUUUGUGUGUGUUACUGUGGGAACCUUUCCUCUUAAUGCAGAGAUGGCUUUUGAAUUUUAAGUGAACAUUAAUCAUAUACACAUCUCUAUAUACUUUUUUUUCCUUUGUAAUCUGAAUUUAAAAGGGAAGAUAACUCUAAAAAAAAAUCACUCCCACACCAACAGCUCCUGCCAAGUCAGCAGCGGCAGCAAAUCCUCCUUUCAACUCCAGGCACAGGCUGGAGCUGCCGCAGAUUUUAAAUUAACUACAGUGGUGCAGCCUGUGCUGCUACGUUCCCCAGGAAGCUGGAGAGAAGCGGGAGACCCAGGGAGGGGAAGAGACUUGUCCUGGGUUGCCCAGGGAGCUUCUUGGAGCUUGCUGCUACUCCUUGGUUCAGUUUAGUAUAAUGGGCUGGACACAGGGGACAGGGAGCAGGACAGGCUGUUCAGGACCAUCAGUGUCAGACCUCAGACUAAGAUCCUUAGGAAAAUGUGGAGGAAUGAGAGGUCUGAAGGCACCUGGCAGAGUUUAGCUGAGACACUUCAGGCAAGCAAAAAAUUCCAUCUUGGGCUGGGCACAGUGGCUCACACCUGUAAUCCUAGCACUUUGGGAGGCUGAGGGGGACGGAUCACCUGAGGUCAGGAGCUCAAGACCAGCCUGACCAACAUGGUGAAACCCCAGCUCUACUAAAAAUACAAAAAUUCGGCUGGCCAUGGUGGCUCACAACUGUAAUCCCAGCACUUCGGGAGGCUGAGGCGGGCAGAUCACCUGAGGUCAGGAGUUCGAGACCAGCCUGGCUAACAUGGCAAACCCCCGUCUCUACUAAAAAUACAAAAAAAUUAGCCAGGCAUGGUGGUGCAUGCCUGUAAUCUCAGCUACUCAGGAAGCUGAGGCAGGAAAAUCACUUGAACCUGGGAGGCAGAGGUUGCAGUGAGCGGAGAUCAUACCACUGCACUCCAGCCUAGGUGACAGAGUGAGACUCCGUCUCGGAAAAAAAAAAAAAAAUAGCCAGGCAUGGUGGGCACCUGUAAUCCCAGCUACUUGGGAGGCUGAGGCAGGAGGAUCGCUUGAACCCAGGAGGCAGAGGUUGCAGUGAGCUGAGAUUGUGCCAUUGCACUCCAGCCUGGAUGACAAGAGCGAGACUCUGUCUCAAAAAAAAAAAAAAAUCCAUCUUGAUCUCGAGACUGAGGCCAGUGAUGUGGUUACUCCCAAUAAACCCCUUUGUUGGCCCAUCCCAGGUGAUGGUUGAACCCCACAGGACUUUCUGGGUUCUGAUGCUUACAGGAGAAACUGCAGCUCUGAGAGGUCAAGUGACUGGCUCAAGGUCACACAGCUAUUUAGAGGUAGAUCCAAAAGUAGACCCCAGGCAGGGCGCAGUGGCUCACACCUGUAAUCCCAGCACUUUGGGAGGCUGAGGCAGGAGGAUCACUUGAGGCCUGCAGUUCCAGACUGACUGGUCAACAGAACAAGACUGUAUCUCUACAAAAAUAUAUAUAUAUUUUUUUAAUCAGCCAGGCAUGGUGGCAUGUGCCUAUAGUCUCGUCUACUGAGGGAGAUGAGGGAGGAGAAUCACUUGAGCUCAGGAGUCCAAGGCUGCAGUAAGCCAUGAUUGCACCACUGUACUCCAGCCUGGGCAACACUGCAAGACCCUGUCACUACAAAAAUUUAAAAGAAAAAGCUGGGCAUGGUGGAAUACACCUGUAAUCCCAGCUACUCAGGAGACUGAGACAGGAGGAUUGCUUGAACCCAGAAGUUUGAGGCUGCAGUGAGCCAUGAUUGCGCCAUUGCACUCCAGCUUGGGCAACAGAGCAAGACCCUGUCUCAAAACAAACAACAACAACAAAAAAUAGACUCCAGCCCUCUGACUCUGACCUCUAGACUCCAGCUAAGCUGUGGAGAGGGUGGAAAAUGGGAAGCACAGUCCAGGAGCCCUGAGCAGAAGGAGGAUUUGGGAGGUGGUUGCUGGUUGUCUCAGCUCCUGCUUUCCCCCAUUAGACCCAUCCAGAAAUCAGCUUCCUGCUCUCUCAUGUCCCUAGACCAAGGUCUGCCUACACUGAGAGACCCGGGUGCAGGUGGCCCCCACAUUACAGAAACUCAUAUGAUUGUUGCUUCUGUGACUCAGGGAACCCUAAACCCUCACAGUUCAUACAUGUGGGGAAAUAAAUAUCGAGGCACAGAGAGGGAAGAGAGUCACUCAAGGUCACACAAUGUAGGAUGAAAGAGGAAGAUACUGAUCAGGAGACCUCCUGGGAGAAGCCCUCCUGUCCAGUCUUACCUGGUGCCUUCACUGGCCUCCCUCCAGCCCCCACCAGCAGAACCUGGUGCUAGGCUCACCCUCCCAAGGCCCAGAAAGAGUAUACAGAGUUUGCCGUCUUUUCUAUUUUAUUAUUGCAUUCCUGUCCCAGGGGCCACCUGCUCACCUUCGAAGUCUCUAGCGUUAGAAGUUUCAGGGGAUGGGGCAGUCACAGUGACUUAUGCCGGUAAUGCCAGUACUUUGGAAGGGCGAGGCAGGAAGAUCACUUGAGACCAGGAGUUUGAAAUCAGCCUGGGCAACAUAGCAAGACCCCUAUCUCUACAAAAAAAAAAUUUUUUUUAAUUAGCCAGAUGUGAUGGUGCAUGCCUACAAUCCCAGCUACUUGGAAGGCCGAGGUGGGAGGAUCACUUGAGCCCAGGAGUUGGAGGCUACAGUGAGCUAUCAUCCUGUCUGUAGUCCCAGCUACUCGGGAGGCUGAGUCAGGAGAAUCACUUGAACCCAGGAGGCAGAGGUUGCAGUAAGUUGAGAUCGCACCAUUGCACUCCAGCCUGGGUGACAGAGCGAGACUCCAUCUCAAAAAAAAAACCCCAAAAAACAAAAAACCCUACAGUGUCCGGGGCUGCCUGGAAGGUGACACCCUUAGGUGAGGGUGGCAGAGAAGGCUCAGGAUCAUGGCCUUGGGGCUGUCUCUGGCUUCUCCCUGUGGUCCAAAUUUUAUCAUGUAAUGGGCAGCCUCAGGUGACCCCCAAGAAGAGGUGCCAAGGCACCCCCUGACCUGCCUUAUACAGGAACAGAAAAAGCAAAAGGGAUGAAUUUUGCUAAAAGGAUGCCAAAGCCAGAGGGAAAGGAGUGGGACUGACCUGAGGCAGGGUCACUCCUCCAGAUCGGCUCUGUGGUUGCCUUCCCUUUUAAAUGCGCGUUUUCCCUUCACCCAUCUGUCCACUCCGAUUGGCCUUGUUUAAACAGUGCUUGUCUCCUCUUUCUGUCUGGGGGCACCUUUCUCUCUUCCUGCCUCUCUGUUUCUGUUUGCUUCUGUCAUUGUUUCUGUCUUUCUGUUUCUCUUUCUCCUUCUCUUCCCAUUUCUAUCUCUGCCUGACUUUGUCUGUUCGUCUGUCUCUCUGUCUGUCUGCCUCCUGUCUCUCUCUCUUCCUUUCCAUCCCUCUCCCCCGGCAUGGGCCUCUCUCCCAUGCUGCCAGCCCCUCUGUAGCCCACCCUGUGGUUCUCUUCCAUCAGCUGCUUCCUGCAUGCUCUAUGGAGGUUUUCUGUUGUUCGAACAAUAAAGAAAGCUUGGCUAGUGGAACCCAUUGUUUAAAAAGGAGGAAAAAAAAAGAGCAAACAGAAAUGGCCGUGCAAGAGCCCCCUCCCAUCCCUGGGAUGAGACAAAAGCCACAUUGGCCACCCAUCUACUGGCUCAGAGGGGGAGCACAGUUUAGGGUCACUGUCUUUCCCCCAUUCUGCAUUCCCAAUGCGGAGACCUUCUUUUCUUUUUUAUUAUUGCAUUCCUGUCCCUGAGCACUGAGAAGAAGCCCAGCUCGCCCUCGCCCAGGGUCCGUGAUAAGGCGGCGGCCGCCGCACCCACGCCGCCCGCGCGGGGGAAGGAGAGCCCGAGCCCGCGCUCGGCGCCGUCGUCCCAAGGUCGCGGAGGCCGCGCGGCGGGCGGGGCGGGCAGGCGGCG
This 4214-nucleotide long non-coding RNA is filed under the name Pan troglodytes (chimpanzee). Its description in RNAcentral is "long non-coding RNA NONPTRT015705". The record is from RNAcentral. Lineage: Eukaryota; Metazoa; Chordata; Mammalia; Primates; Hominidae.